This 497-nucleotide ribosomal RNA is filed under the name uncultured bacterium. Its description in RNAcentral is "partial 16S ribosomal RNA". It matches the Rfam family "Bacterial small subunit ribosomal RNA", at positions 28 to 507 of the family's 1533-position model. The record is from RNAcentral.
GAUGAACGCUGGCGGCGUGCCUAAUACAUGCAAGUCGAGCGAACAGACGAGGAGCUUGCUCCUCUGACGUUAGCGGCGGACGGGUGAGUAACACGUGGAUAACCUACCUAUAAGACUGGGAUAACUUCGGGAAACCGGAGCUAAUACCGGAUAAUAUAUUGAACCGCAUGGUUCAAUAGUGAAAGACGGUUUUGCUGUCACUUAUAGAUGGAUCCGCGCCGCAUUAGCUAGUUGGUAAGGUAACGGCUUACCAAGGCAACGAUGCGUAGCCGACCUGAGAGGGUGAUCGGCCCACCUGGAACUGAGACCAGGUCCAGACUCCUACGGGAGGCAGCAGUAGGGAAUCUUCCGCAAUGGGCGAAAGCCUGACGGAGCAACGCCGCGUGAGUGAUGAAGGUCUUCGGAUCGUAAAACUCUGUUAUUAGGGAAGAACAAAUGUGUAAGUAACUAUGCACGCCUUGACGGUACCUAAUCAGAAAGCCGCGGCUAACUACGUG